AGCAAAUGAUCAUUAGCCAAACUUGGGUUGUAUUGGGAUGGAUACAAUCGAUCGUUGGCCUCCCAAUGUUUUCUCUUGUUCUCAAUCAUGCCACUACCUACGAUUGUUGGAAGAAGUUUGAAAUUAAUUCACCUAUCACCACGAAAGACAAUACACGUACACACAAGGGAUUCAUGACGAGCUUCGACGACUAAUUCAUUUGAUGAAUCUACCAGGGAUUAUGUUAUCAAAGUCAGAGCACUUACGGACUCACUAGCUGCUAGCUGCAGGUGACACAAUAUUGUGAUAUUGUGGAUUUUGUUAGCUAUGGUUUGGGUCCAGAGUACAUGCCAUUUAUUUGUUUUUUACAUUCUCAUGCAGCUAGCAGUCAAAUAUUAGAUUAUAAAAUAUUAGUUUGUUAUUUGUUGUAACCAACUCCACUCACAUUAUAAGGGGUGGGUGGGUGGUACAACUUUCAAGUGUAUAUAUUUACAAUAAUAAAGAGCAAAUGAUCCAUCGAUCAUUAGUCAAACCUCUCUACUCUUUCCUUCAUUCUUCCUUCUCCAUUCAUCAACAAUGUUGUCCUCCUCCUUCAAUGACUCUAAGUCCAACAACUGAUUAUGGAAGAUGCCUAUCUACGUCAAAUGAAUUAUCAAUCAACAACGACUACUACUGAAAAUCUAUCUGUCUUUGCUGUUAACUAUAAAAAUCGUGAUAAUCGAUUUCACAAAAAUAAUCGGGGCAAUGGAGGAGGUCGUUUUCAAAAAUAUAGAAAUAGGGAAAAUAGAUGGCGCCGAACUCCUGGAAAUUACGAUAACUUUGUGAAAAAUCUCGAUAACUCGAUAGUAUGCCAACUUUGUGAAAAAUCAGGUCACAAUGCACGUACUUGUAGAAAGGGUUUAAAAACGUUCGCGACAUCCAUGGAAGUUAUUGAUGAAGUAACUAAAGGGAACUGACUUCUUUAUUCCGGCACUACAAAUCAUAUGACACCGGAUCUGUAUUCACUCUCGGAUGUUCACGAUUAUUCUGGUAUGAAAAAUAUAAUUAUUGGUAAUGGUUUAGGAUUAAAGAUUUCACAUAUAAGUAUUGCUAGACUAAAAUCUAAUAAUGGAGA
Molecule: long non-coding RNA, 1093 nt
Filed under: Zostera marina
Lineage: Eukaryota; Viridiplantae; Streptophyta; Magnoliopsida; Alismatales; Zosteraceae
Description: long non-coding RNA (ZMAR_LNC002800)
Source: RNAcentral